This 463-nucleotide ribosomal RNA is filed under the name uncultured bacterium. Its description in RNAcentral is "partial 16S ribosomal RNA". It matches the Rfam family "Bacterial small subunit ribosomal RNA", at positions 28 to 507 of the family's 1533-position model. The record is from RNAcentral.
GAUGAGCGCUGACAGAAUGCUUAACACAUGCAAGUCUUUGGCGAAUCUGUGCUUGCACAGGCUAGCCAAGGCGGACGGGUGAGUAACGCGUAAAGAACUUGCCCUGCAGACAGGGAUAACAGACGGAAACGACUGAUAACACCUGAUACAGUUGCCGGCACGCAUGUGCCUGGCAAUGAAAAGAGAUGCUGCAGGAGAGCUUUGCGUCCUAUUAGCUUGUUGGUGAGGUGACGGCUCACCAAGGCGAUGAUAGGUAGCCGGCCUGAGAGGGUGAACGGCCACAAGGGGACUGAGAUACGGCCCUUACUCCUACGGGAGGCAGCAGUGGGGAAUAUUGGACAAUGGGGGCAACCCUGAUCCAGCAAUUCUGUGUGCACGAAGAAGGUUUUCGGAUUGUAAAGUGCUUUCAGCAGGGAAGAAGAAAGUGACGGUACCUGCAGAAGAAGCGACGGCUAAAUACGUG